This 253-nucleotide ribosomal RNA is filed under the name uncultured bacterium. RNAcentral describes it as "partial 16S ribosomal RNA". It matches the Rfam family "Bacterial small subunit ribosomal RNA", at positions 524 to 776 of the family's 1533-position model. The record is from RNAcentral.
UACGGAGGGUGCAAGCGUUAUCCGGAUUCACUGGGUUUAAAGGGUGCGUAGGUGGGCAUGUAAGUCAGUGGUGAAAUCUCCGGGCUUAACCCGGAAACUGCCAUUGAUACUAUAUGUCUUGAAUAUCCUGGAGGUGAGCGGAAUAUGUCAUGUAGCGGUGAAAUGCUUAGAUAUGACAUAGAACACCAAUUGCGAAGGCAGCUCACUACGGGAUUAUUGACACUGAGGCACGAAAGCGUGGGGAUCAAACAGG